This 426-nucleotide ribosomal RNA is filed under the name uncultured Capnocytophaga sp. Its description in RNAcentral is "bacterial SSU rRNA". It matches the Rfam family "Bacterial small subunit ribosomal RNA", at positions 28 to 454 of the family's 1533-position model. The record is from RNAcentral. Lineage: Bacteria; Pseudomonadati; Bacteroidota; Flavobacteriia; Flavobacteriales; Flavobacteriaceae.
GAUGAACGCUAGCGGCAGGCCUAACACAUGCAAGUCGAGGGAGAGGUUAUCUUCGGGUAACCAAAACCGGCGCACGGGUGCGCAACGCGUAUACAAUCUGCCUUUCACAUAGGGAUAGCCCGAAGAAAUUUGGAUUAAUACCUAAUGGUAUAUAGGAGCGGCAUCGUUUUUAUAUUAAAGCUACGGUGGUGAAAGAUGAGUAUGCGUUCUAUUAGCUAGUUGGAGAGGUAACGGCUCCCCAAGGCGACGAUAGAUAGGGGUUCUGAGAGGGAUGUCCCCCACUCUGGUACUGAUAUACGGACCAGACUCCUACGGGAGGCAGCAGUGUGGAAUAUUGGACAAUGGUCGGAAGACUGAUCCAUCCUUGCCGCGUGCAGGAUGAAGGUCCUAUGGAUUGUAAACUGCUUUUGCAGGAAAAUAAUGGGU